CCCCGGACUUCAGCAGUUGUCUUCAGUGACCCAAGCACGGGCAGGACAUUCCGCAGGAGUUCUUGGAUCCCAGCACGAGGCCAUGUAGGGUGAGUCAUGUGGGGCCUGAGAAAAACCAGAUGCUUGGGAAAGAAGUAACAGGAGAUACUGGAAAUACUGUAUGGUCUAGACUGAAUGCUUCAGUGGUUUCAAGAUAAAUAAAGUAGGCCAAGGGUGAAAUGUGUGAGCUCAGUCAGCUUUACCCAGGAGACUUCCAGCUCCUAUCUUCAGGAAACAGCUAAGGCUCGCUUAUGUGACCACAGGCAAACUUGGCAUGCACUUUCCUUGCUUUCUUUCAGCCUGAUCUGUGUACUUGAAUUUAUAGGAUGGUACAUUCCCAUUACAAUCAUUUCUCCAGAUUCUAGGGCCUGAUCUUGGGGCAUAUGGAAAGGCAGUCUCUACAGGCGUUUCAUUCCUGCAGGAGGUGCUAACUGAGGUACCUUCCCCUGCCGAGGAAGGAUGGGUGUUCUGGGGCUCUGCUCUGGCUAUUUGCUCUCCUCAGACGUUACCUGCAAGUGGAUCAGUGCUGAUGAUUGGCAUGUUCACCAGAGACAGAUUUGCAAAGGCUGAGGGAGGACUGGCUGGAUCCAGGAGGGGCCUGAGCCUAACGGUGCUUUAGCCAGAUGGCAUCAGAGAACGUUGUCAUUCACACGGACAUGAGAGAUGGUUCGGAGGUUCCAUCCAGGCUCUGGUACUGUCAUAACACAGGUCCUGUCCAGCUGGGCUCACCCAUCUGUGCCUACGAUAUGCCAGAGCAUUGUCUCAGCUUUCCCAGGAAGAGUUCUUCCAUUGAAGACCAAGAUUUCUAACCCUGCAAAGGCAAGAGCUUUGUGGACAGGAGGCAC
Non-coding RNA from Delphinapterus leucas (beluga whale), 884 nucleotides. NCBI's taxonomy places the organism in Eukaryota, Metazoa, Chordata, Mammalia, Artiodactyla, Monodontidae. The record is from RefSeq and is a predicted model, not a curated record.